Molecule: ribosomal RNA, 327 nt
Filed under: uncultured eukaryote
Lineage: Eukaryota
Description: partial 18S ribosomal RNA
Rfam family: Eukaryotic small subunit ribosomal RNA
Source: RNAcentral
CCCUUAGAUGUUCUGGGCCGCACACGCGCUACACUGAAGGAGGCAGCGUGUACUCCUGGAUCGAAAGAUUUGGGUAACCCGCGAAUCUCCUUCGUGCUAGGGAUUGAGGUUUGCAAUUAUCCUUCAUGAACGAGGAAUUCCCAGUAAGUGCAAGUCAUAAGCUUGCGCUGACUACGUCCCUGCCCUUUGUACACACCGCCCGUCGCUACUACCGAUUGAAUGAUUUAGUGAGGACUUCGGACUUGGACCGAUGCGGCUUUCGGGCUGCGUCGGUAUUCUGGAAAGAUGUCCAAACUGUAUCAUUUAGAGGAAGUAAAAGUCGUAACA